CAGUAGCCGCGGGAACACGAAGGGGGCUAGCGUUGUUCGGAAUUACUGGGCGUAAAGCGCACGUAGGCGGAUAUUUAAGUCAGGGGUGAAAUCCCAGAGCUCAACUCUGGAACUGCCUUUGAUACUGGGUAUCUUGAGUAUGGAAGAGGUGAGUGGAAUUCCGAGUGUAGAGGUGAAAUUCGUAGAUAUUCGGAGGAACACCAGUGGCGAAGGCGGCUCACUGGUCCAUUACUGACGCUGAGGUGCGAAAGCGUGGGGAGCAAACAGGAUUAGAUACCCGCGUAGUCCCUGUCUCUUAUAC
This 301-nucleotide ribosomal RNA is filed under the name uncultured bacterium. Its description in RNAcentral is "partial 16S ribosomal RNA". It matches the Rfam family "Bacterial small subunit ribosomal RNA", at positions 509 to 807 of the family's 1533-position model. The record is from RNAcentral.